This 498-nucleotide ribosomal RNA is filed under the name uncultured Sphingobacteriales bacterium. RNAcentral describes it as "bacterial SSU rRNA". It matches the Rfam family "Bacterial small subunit ribosomal RNA", at positions 903 to 1382 of the family's 1533-position model. The record is from RNAcentral. Lineage: Bacteria; Pseudomonadati; Bacteroidota; Sphingobacteriia; Sphingobacteriales.
GCCAGCCCGCUCAGAAACUUAAAGGAAUUGACGGGGCCCGCACAAGCGGAGGAGCAUGUGGUUUAAUUCGAUGAUACGCGAGGAACCUUACCUGGGCUCGAACGUAAGAUGACUGUAGGUGAAAGCUUACAUCUCUUCGGAGCAUUUUACGAGGUGCUGCAUGGUUGUCGUCAGCUCGUGCCGUGAGGUGUCGGGUUAAGUCCCAUAACGAGCGCAACCCCUACCUUUAGUUGCCAUCAGGUUAAGCUGGGGACUCUAAAGGAACUGCCUACGCAAGUAGUGAGGAAGGCGGGGAUGACGUCAAAUCAGCACGGCCCUUACGUCCAGGGCUACACACGUGCUACAAUGGCCGAUACAGAGGGCAGCUACCUGGUGACAGGAUGCAAAUCUCCAAAGUCGGUCUCAGUUCGGAUCGGAGUCUGCAACCCGACUCCGUGAAGUUGGAUUCGCUAGUAAUCGCGCAUCAGCCAUGGCGCGGUGAAUACGUUCCCGGGCCUC